AGUAGCAUUUCGCUUGCCUUGCUGCCUGGAGCCUCCUUAAAGGAGAAGAUGAAUUCACUGCAUGUGUGCGCGGGCCUUAUGUAAGCUGCAGGCGGCAGCGCAGAGUGGAGAACGUGAAGACAGGCGGGGGCAGGGAGAUUUGGCGAGGCAGGCCCCGCAGUGCAGAAACCAGCUCUGAAAGCUGCGCGUGGAGUUAAAAUGCUCUGACUUGAGUUUUGAGUAUGGGCCUCCAAUGACUCUUCUUGUCCUGGAUCAAAACCUCAGGAGACAGUUAAUUUACCUCAUACUUAUAACUUUGACAAUCAAACAGCUUAACAGCUAUUUCAGACAUCUAUUCCUGCUAGAGGAUGCACUGUCCCUAUUUUUGGAAGCCGGCUGACGCAGAAGAAAGCCACCUCCCCCCGCCGCCGCCCCAACAGACACGCACUUUGCUGACAUUUUUCCUAGAAUAAACAGUGAUUCAGCUGAGAUAGCUUGACCGGAUCACUGUUGAGAACAAAAUGAUAUGAUUGUUAUAUGAAGCAAGAGGUGGUCCAAGAAGAAGGUAUAAUCUCCAGGGAGCAGACAGACACUUCUAAAAUCAAUAGACUGAUGAUUCACACUGCAGUCAAGUUCUGCUGGAAAGUAAGAGAUAAAUAUGCAUUUAUGAGAUUCAGAAUGCUAUUUUCAAACACCUGCAAAGAAGAGAACACUGUGUCAAUGUAUCCAGUCACAUAUUUGAGAGUCUGCAGAACCUGUCUACCUAAUGCCCAUUGGGAUGUGGUAAGCGGAUGUAGGAUGUAGUACUGAAGAAUGUAGGAAGGGGAAUAGGUGUUUGCAUCUGUCCAGGUGGGUUUUUUUGUUUGUUUGUUUGUUUGUUUGUUUUUGACACACUUGUGGCAUGUAGAAGUUCUCGGGCUAGAGAUAAAACCUUGGCCAUAGCAGUGAUCAAAGUCACAGAAGUGACAACUCUGGAUCCUUAAUCCUCUGUGCACAGGAGAACACCAGGAAGAACUUUUUUAAAAAAACUUUGCAUUUCUUUUAUUUUUUAAAUUCAUCUUUAUUGAGAUAUAAUGGGCAAAUAAAAUUAUAAGAUAUUUAAAGGG
Molecule: long non-coding RNA, 1085 nt
Filed under: Sus scrofa (pig)
Lineage: Eukaryota; Metazoa; Chordata; Mammalia; Artiodactyla; Suidae
Description: lncRNA (ENSSSCG00025044451.1)
Source: RNAcentral